AGUGCUCUAACCCAACACACAACUUCUAAAUCCUAAUUACAGACCUAACUUUUGAAUACUAAACCCUAAACUGCUAUCACUAAACCCAAACCUCAACUUCUAUUUUUCAAAUACUAAACCCUAAACCCAAAUAUAGAUCCUAGAACCCAAAUAGAAUGAAACAAAAUACAUAGUAUAGUACAUAUUGCUGAACAAAAUAGAACACUCUUUAUUAAUCGUCAAAUAGAACGAUAAUGAUAGGGUCACUAAACUCAAACCUCAACCCUACCUUCUAAAUACUAAACCCUAAAUCUUAAUCAUUAAACCUUAAAUCCAAGUAUAAACUCUAAACCCAAAUAGAAUGGAACAAAAAACCAUAUUUCUCAAAUGUUGAUAUGGCUAUGCCAUGGAAGGUGGUAAUGUUUGCUUCAAUGUCAAUCUCAAUCGUACAUAAACUAAACCCAAUCAACUAAUCAUUAAACCCAAUCAACUAAUCACUAAUCAAUAAAUAAAAUAGUACAAACUGAUGAAAUUAUGAAAUGUUUAUGAUUGCAUGUAAGAAGUUAGUGUUGAUCCCAACCCCAGCUAUCAACUACUAAAUACUAAACUCUAAACUCUAAAUUCUAAUUACUAAACCCUAAACCUAAAUAAAUAGAUUAAGCUAAGGGAAAAUUGCCAAAUAUGACUCACAACUUGAUUUCAAAUGCAAA
Molecule: long non-coding RNA, 689 nt
Filed under: Brassica napus (rape)
Lineage: Eukaryota; Viridiplantae; Streptophyta; Magnoliopsida; Brassicales; Brassicaceae
Description: long non-coding RNA (BNAP_LNC017237)
Source: RNAcentral